This 73-nucleotide transfer RNA is filed under the name Marmota monax (woodchuck). Its description in RNAcentral is "tRNA.Gly". The stretch from base 12 to 66 matches the Rfam family "tRNA", at positions 10 to 63 of the family's 71-position model. Rfam says of the family: Transfer RNA (tRNA) molecules are approximately 80 nucleotides in length. Their secondary structure includes four short double-helical elements and three loops (D, anti-codon, and T loops). Further hydrogen bonds mediate the characteristic L-shaped molecular structure. tRNAs have two regions of fundamental functional importance: the anti-codon, which is responsible for specific mRNA codon recognition, and the 3' end, to which the tRNAs corresponding amino acid is attached (by aminoacyl-tRNA synthetases). tRNAs cope with the degeneracy of the genetic code in two manners: having more than one tRNA (with a specific anti-codon) for a particular amino acid; and 'wobble' base-pairing, i.e. permitting non-standard base-pairing at the 3rd anti-codon position. The record is from RNAcentral. Lineage: Eukaryota; Metazoa; Chordata; Mammalia; Rodentia; Sciuridae.
UUGGGAAAGUUGCUCAGUGGUAUAGCACUUGCCUACCAUGCAGGAGGCCCUGGGUUCAAGUCACAGUACCAAA